Molecule: long non-coding RNA, 312 nt
Filed under: Bemisia tabaci
Lineage: Eukaryota; Metazoa; Arthropoda; Insecta; Hemiptera; Aleyrodidae
Description: lncRNA ENSSSA2NGG002230
Source: RNAcentral
CGAGCGUAGUCCAACACAAUUGUUGUGUCUGUGCGUGAAUGUGAGACUUUUGAGUUGAAAGUUUUUCGAACCCGCAGACAGUGAAAAGUAGAAAUUCCAAGCCUAACAAGCGGUUACUUCACAGAAAAGAACAUCAUGCCGACUCCUGGCAUAACAAGUAAUGAUGCUCACCAGGUUUUGAUAUCGCACUCCCCGAUUGACUGGACUACAUUUUGCAGUGAGGAACAACUACUUCCGGGUCAUUUCAUAAACGAAAAUCCAAAAGUCAAAAAACGGAGGGAGGAAGGCGGAAACGGUUAUCAUGAUCAAUAG